This 2246-nucleotide long non-coding RNA is filed under the name Canis lupus dingo (dingo). Its description in RNAcentral is "lncRNA (ENSCAFG00020026993.1)". The record is from RNAcentral. Lineage: Eukaryota; Metazoa; Chordata; Mammalia; Carnivora; Canidae.
CAUCCAAAAAGAACUGCACUUCUGGCCUCCAAAUUGUUAAAAAAGAUGUGUCACUUGAAUCCUAAUACAGACUUGAAUUGAAUUUGAGGGUGUUUCUUGAAGUCGUAGACCAAUUAAAUAAAUCAGAUAGCUUUUUGAUAAAAGGCUGUAAAUAAAACUUGGGGGUUUAUUCGUAUUUUGGAACCAAAUACCUGAGGGCAUGGUUAAGAAAAUCUAGAGCAUGGGGAAUUGAAACCAAUAAUUAAAAUGUACUACAGCACACUGUGUUUUGAAACUUAUUACUUCCAAAUGAAACAAUCUUGAACUACUCUAUUUUGAGUGAUUUCAGGAAGUUGAAAAAGUUGAGGUGAUUAUUCUUUUUACAAGCUGGCUGUGCAGUUACAGACCACAGUCGAAAAGUUUGAAUUCCUUGUCAAAAUCCAAAGUGGUUUUAGUUAAAAUAUAUUGCCUAACUUACCCAAUCCAUCAUCUUCUGAAUUAAUGCCAUGGAAACAUCUAGGAUUAUUAAUUAUUAGGACCACACUUCAGGUAAAUGACUAAACUAAGGGUCAUUUGAAAAAAGUGAACUGUGUCUUGGUCUGAGAGUCUAUUUGCAGUCCUCCCUAGGAAACGUAUAAAUUUUCAAAACUUUAAUUAUGCUUAAAGGGACACUUUUAUUUCUGGAGAGAAAUGACAAAUGAGGAGUAAAACAAAGUAGGAAAUUCUGAUUUUGCUUCAUUGUUAUUGUACCCUUCUUUUACAGAGCAGGGGAGGACACAACAUGGGCAUGAAGUACUUGAACGUUACCAGUACUUUGCUACAGGAAGGAAGCCGUCACCCCUGGAUCGCGUGCUACCGUCAGGAAGAUGGGUUAGGGAGUGCCGAGCAUAAAGAAACAGCCAAGAAGAUGCAAAACCAAGAGGUAAAGAUGCCAGCAGCCUGUCAACCAUUGCUGCAGUUACGGACACCUGGAAAAAUUGAGGCUUGUGCUCACCAUCCGAGCAUCUCUGGAAAAUGAGUGAGUGUGAACCCAAUUUGUUGUGCUGGGUGGGACGGUUAAGGGUCGGCAUUACUAUAUGGCUGAUGGCCAUGUUUAAGGGUCUGGUGGUCCAGUUCCUUGUGCAGACUAUGGGCCCUUUGGGCAAAGUGCUUCUGUCUCCACUUCCAGUAAUCUGUCCUGCCAGGUAAACUGAAGCCAUCUUUGACCCCAUAAUGGUAAUUAGAGAUCACAGCAUGAAAUAUCAGUGCUUAAUAAUGAUAACUAGAAGGUGUUCAUUGGCACAUACAAACCUCAGGAUGGCAGGAUGGCGGUAAAAUGCCCAACAUUUUUGGUCCUAAAUGUGUUGCUAUUUUAAACAAAGAAAGGAAACUGAUGGCAAUAAGAUAUCUCCUGAGACAUGGAUGCUUCUCUGGCUCCCCAUUUUACCCAUUAAGGACAAGAUUUGCUAGUCAUCUAGCAGUAACCGACUAGUUUUCUUUCACAGUUUAAAGUCAUCAGCGAGGGUAAGGUGAACAAAAUGAACCAAAACGAACCAAAAUGAACCAAAACGAACCAAAAUGAACCACUGGUUUCCAAUUCAACUAGGAUACCUUCUUGGUGUCUUUCUAAUACAUUCUACAUCACAGUAGAAUGUGUCUACCCUAACACAUUGUUUAAGAUUUCUUUAUUCUUGAUCUUUUAAUCAUGAUCUGGAUUCAGUUAUACCAUCAUGAAAUACACACCAUUUAUCGAACACUUACUCUGUAUCAGGUAUUGGGUCAAGUCCCACAAAUGUAUUUUCUUAUUCAUUCUUUCCACAACGUCUAAGGUAGAUUCUAGUUUUAUUCCCAUUUUACAUGAGAAAAUUGAAGCUUAGAGUUCUCAGUGAUUUGCUUAAUUUAACAUUAUGCGUUUAACUAUUACACUGUACUUCUCCAGACGAACCAUGCAGUCUGGCUACCCAAACUCAGGAUCUCUUCACAGACAUGGUUAUCUUUGUUUCUUGACACUAAUAUCUGUGAGCCAGAGUUGCAGCUGUAGGCGAUGGCAGGUACAACUCAAGAACUAGAGCUCAUUUGCCUCCGUUUUUAUCCAAAAGUCGCAGAAGCAGGUGGGUGGGGUUCAUGCUAUUUCCAGCCUCUAAGUAAGUACUGAUGAACCAUUCUCAAAGAAAUGAUGCAGAGCCCUUUGCUGUGGUGUCUUUUGGGCAAGAUAUGGAUUUGAGCCAAAAUGCCUUCUGUUUCUCUGUCAGAUGUACAAAAAUAAAGGAUAUAUGGAAAAUAAAACA